ACAAUGAAGAGUUUGAUCCUGGCUCAGGAUGAACGCUAGCUACAGGCUUAACACAUGCAAGUCGAGGGGCAUCAGGAAGAAAGCUUGCUUUCUUUGCUGGCGACCGGCGCACGGGUGAGUAACACGUAUCCAACCUGCCCUUUACUCGGGGAUAGCCUUUCGAAAGAAAGAUUAAUACCCGAUAGUAUAAUGAUUCCGCAUGGUUUCAUUAUUAAAGGAUUCCGGUAAAGGAUGGGGAUGCGUUCCAUUAGGUUGUUGGUGAGGUAACGGCCCACCA
Molecule: ribosomal RNA, 277 nt
Filed under: Bacteroides fragilis
Lineage: Bacteria; Pseudomonadati; Bacteroidota; Bacteroidia; Bacteroidales; Bacteroidaceae
Description: partial 16S ribosomal RNA
Rfam family: Bacterial small subunit ribosomal RNA
Source: RNAcentral